AUUGAACGCUGGCGGCAGGCCUAACACAUGCAAGUCGAACGAGUGGCGGACGGGUGAGUAAUGUCUGGGAAACUGCCCGAUGGAGGGGGAUAACUACUGGAAACGGUAGCUAAUACCGCAUACCAUCGGAUGUGCCCAGAUGGGAUUAGCUUGUUGGUGGGGUAACGGCUCACCAAGGCGACGAUCCCUAGCUGGUCUGAGAGGAUGAACAGCCACACUGGAACUGAGACACGGUCCAGACUGCUACGGGAGGUGGCAGUGGGGAAUAGUGCACAAGGGGCGCAAGCCUGAUGAAGCCAUGUCGCGUGUAUGAAGAAGGCCUUCGGGUUGUAAAGUACUGUCAGCGGGGAGGCGUUACCCGCAGAAGAAGCACCGGCUAACUCCGUGCCAGCAGCCGCGGUAAUUC
RNAcentral lists this ribosomal RNA (406 nucleotides) under uncultured bacterium. Its description in RNAcentral is "partial 16S ribosomal RNA". It matches the Rfam family "Bacterial small subunit ribosomal RNA", at positions 30 to 526 of the family's 1533-position model. The record is from RNAcentral.